GACGAACGUUGGCGGCGUGCUUAACACAUGCAAGUCGAACGGAAAGGCCCUGCUUUUGUGGGGUGCUCGAGUGGCGAACGGGUGAGUAACACGUGAGUAACCUGCCCUUGACUUUGGGAUAACUUCAGGAAACUGGGGCUAAUACCGGAUAGGAGCUCCUGCUGCAUGGUGGGGGUUGGAAAGUUUCGGCGGUUGGGGAUGGACUCGCGGCUUAUCAGCUUGUUGGUGGGGUAGUGGCUUACCAAGGCUUUGACGGGUAGCCGGCCUGAGAGGGUGACCGGCCACAUUGGGACUGAGAUACGGCCCAGACUCCUACGGGAGGCAGCAGUGGGGAAUAUUGCACAAUGGGCGGAAGCCUGAUGCAGCAACGCCGCGUGCGGGAUGACGGCCUUCGGGUUGUAAACCGCUUUCGCCUGUGACGAAGCGUGAGUGACGGUAAUGGGUAAAGAAGCACCGGCUAACUACGUGCCAGCAGCCGCGGUGAUACGUAGGGUGCGAGCGUUGUCCGGAUUUAUUGGGCGUAAAGGGCUCGUAGGUGGUUGAUCGCGUCGGAAGUGUAAUUUUGGGGCUUAACCCUGAGCGUGCUUUCGAUACGGGUUGACUUGAGGAAGGUAGGGGAGAAUGGAAUUCCUGGUGGAGCGGUGGAAUGCGCAGAUAUCAGGAGGAACACCAGUGGCGAAGGCGGUUCUCUGGGCCUUUCCUGACGCUGAGGAGCGAAAGCGUGGGGAGCGAACAGGCUUAGAUACCCUGGUAGUCCACGCUGUAAACGGUGGGUACUAGAUGUGGGGUCCAUUCCACGGGUUCCGUGCCGUAGCUAACGCUUUAAGUACCCCGCCUGGGGAGUACGGCCGCAAGGCUAAAACUCAAAGGAAUUGACGGGGCCCCGCACAAGCGGCGGAGCAUGCGGAUUAAUUCGAUGCAACGCGUAGAACCUUACCUGGGUUUGACAUGGAUCGGGAGUGCUCAGAGAUGGGUGUGCCUCUUUUGGGGUCGGUUCACAGGUGGUGCAUGCCUGUCGUCAGCUCGUGUCGUGAGAUGUUGGGUUAAGUCCCGCAACGAGCGCAACCCUUGUUCACUGUUGCCAGCACGUUAUGGUGGGGACUCAGUGGAGACCGCCGGGGUCAACUCGGAGGAAGGUGGGGAUGACGUCAAGUCCUCAUGCCCCUUAUGUCCAGGGCUUCACGCAUGCUACAAUGGCUGGUACAGAGAGUGGCGAGCCUGUGAGGGUGAGCGAAUCUCGGAAAGCCGGUCUCAGUUCGGAUUGGGGUCUGCAACUCGACCUCAUGAAGUCGGAGUCGCUAGUAAUCGCAGAUCAGCAACGCUGCGGUGAAUACGUUCCCGGG
This 1343-nucleotide ribosomal RNA is filed under the name uncultured bacterium. RNAcentral describes it as "16S ribosomal RNA". It matches the Rfam family "Bacterial small subunit ribosomal RNA", at positions 28 to 1378 of the family's 1533-position model. The record is from RNAcentral.